AGGACGAACGCUGGCGGCGUGCUUAACACAUGCAAGUCGAGCGGAAAGGCCCUUCGGGGUACUCGAGCGGCGAACGGGUGAGUAACACGUGAGCAACCUGCCCCCUGGCUCUGGGAUAGCUCCGGGAAACCGGGAUUAAUACCGGAUGUGACCUGCCGCGGCAUCGCGGCGGGUGGAAAGUUUUUCGGCCAGGGAUGGGCUCGCGGCCUAUCAGCUUGUUGGCAGGGUAAUGGCCUACCAAGGCGACGACGGGUA
RNAcentral lists this ribosomal RNA (255 nucleotides) under uncultured bacterium. Its description in RNAcentral is "partial small subunit ribosomal RNA". It matches the Rfam family "Bacterial small subunit ribosomal RNA", at positions 26 to 285 of the family's 1533-position model. The record is from RNAcentral.